Molecule: non-coding RNA, 138 nt
Organism: Heterocephalus glaber (naked mole-rat)
Lineage: Eukaryota; Metazoa; Chordata; Mammalia; Rodentia; Bathyergidae
Source: Rfam
AGCUUUGCGCAAUGGCAGUAUUGUAGCCAAUGAGGUUUAUCCAAGGUGCAAUUAUUGCUAACUGAAAAUAAUAACAAACAAAUUGGUUCAUUAAUUGCAAUAAAUGUAUCAUACCGACAUAUGAAUUUACAACAGGAA